GUAGGUGAACCUGCGGAAGGAUCAUUAACACGUAUCCACGUAUCAACCCCUCUGUGAAAACGCAAAAGCAGCAAGGUCUGGUCUUAGUGCGUCUGUCUGCUAUGGGUCCUAAUGAUGGGUGACUCUCUCUCUCUCUCUCUCGGGGGGGACGAGAGUCACAGGGCUCGGACGGCGUGUGUUUGACGAUCAACCGAUACUUUUCCAUUGUUGGCCUUUACCCAACUUUUUAACCCCUUUGUACUCUUUUGUA
Molecule: unclassified non-coding RNA, 250 nt
Filed under: plant metagenome
Description: partial contains small subunit ribosomal RNA, internal transcribed spacer 1, and 5.8S ribosomal RNA
Source: RNAcentral